GGCGUAAAGCGUGCGCAGGCGGUUUUGUAAGUCUGAGGUGAAAUCCCCGGGCUCAACCUGGGAAUUGCAUUGGAGACUGCUAGGCUAGAAUCUGGCAGAGGGGGGUAGAAUUCCACGUGUAGCAGUGAAAUGCUUAGAUAUGUGGAGGAACACCGAUGGCGAAGGCAGCCCCCUGGGUCAAGAUUGACGCUCAUGCACGAAAGCGUGGGGAGCAAACAGGAUUAGAUACCCUGGUAGUCCACGCCCUAAACGAUGUCUACUAGUUGUCGGGUCUUAAUUGACUUGGUAACGCAGCUAACGCGUGAAGUAGACCGCCUGGGGAGUACGGUCGCAAGAUUAAAACUCGAAGGAAUUGACGGGGACCCGCACAAGCGGUGGAGGAUGUGGAUUAAUUCAAUGCCACGGAAAAAACCUUACGUACCCUUGACAUGGCUGGAAUCCCCGAGAGAUUGUGGAGUGCUCCAAAUAAAACCGUUACGCAGGUGCUGCAUGGCUGUCUUCCGCUCGUGUCGUGAUAUGUUGGGUUAACUCCCGCAACGAGCGCUACCCUUGUCAUUAGUUGCUACUAAGGGGCACUCUAAUGACACUGCCUGUGACAAACCAGAAGAGGGUGGAGAUGACCUCAAGUCCUCAUGGCCCUUAUGGGUAGGGCUUCACACGUCAUACAAUGCUACAUACAGAGCGCCCCCUACCCGAGAGGGAGAGCUAAUCUCAGAAAGUGUAUCGUACUCAUGAUUGUCUCUGCUCCUCUACUGCAUGAAGUUGGAAUCACUAGUAAUCUCUCAUCACAUGUCGCGGGUGAAUACUUUCCCGGCUCGUGUACACA
This 826-nucleotide ribosomal RNA is filed under the name Janthinobacterium sp. Its description in RNAcentral is "bacterial SSU rRNA". It matches the Rfam family "Bacterial small subunit ribosomal RNA", at positions 557 to 1389 of the family's 1533-position model. Lineage: Bacteria; Pseudomonadati; Pseudomonadota; Betaproteobacteria; Burkholderiales; Oxalobacteraceae. The record is from RNAcentral.